RNAcentral lists this ribosomal RNA (878 nucleotides) under Pleiochaeta setosa. Its description in RNAcentral is "eukaryotic LSU rRNA". It matches the Rfam family "Eukaryotic large subunit ribosomal RNA", at positions 40 to 936 of the family's 3401-position model. Lineage: Eukaryota; Fungi; Ascomycota; Dothideomycetes; Pleosporales. The record is from RNAcentral.
AUAUCAAUAAGCGGAGGAAAAGAAACCAACAGGGAUUGCCCUAGUAACGGCGAGUGAAGCGGCAACAGCUCAAAUUUGAAAUCUGGCCUCUUUUGGGGUCCGAGUUGUAAUUUGCAGAGGGCGCUUUGGAGUCGGCAGCGGUCCAAGUUCCUUGGAACAGGACGUCACAGAGGGUGAGAAUCCCGUACGUGGUCGCUAGCCUUCGCCGUGUAAAGCCCCUUCGACGAGUCGAGUUGUUUGGGAAUGCAGCUCUAAAUGGGAGGUAAAUUUCUUCUAAAGCUAAAUACUGGCCAGAGACCGAUAGCGCACAAGUAGAGUGAUCGAAAGAUGAAAAGCACUUUGGAAAGAGAGUCAAAAAGCACGUGAAAUUGUUGAAAGGGAAGCGCUUGCAGCCAGACUUGCCUGUAGUUGCUCAUCCGGGCUUUUGCCCGGUGCACUCUUCUAUAGGCAGGCCAGCAUCAGUUUGGGCGGUUGGAUAAAGGUCUCUGUCAUGUACCUCUCUUCGGGGAGGACUUAUAGGGGAGGCGACAUGCAACCAGCUCAGACUGAGGUCCGCGCAUUUGCUAGGAUGCUGGCGUAAUGGCUGUAAGCGGCCCGUCUUGAAACACGGACCAAGGAGUCUAACAUCUAUGCGAGUGUUUGGGUGUCAAGCCCGAGCGCGCAAUGAAAGUGAACGGAGGUGGGAACCCCUCGGGGCGCACCAUCGACCGAUCCUGAUGUCUUCGGAUGGAUUUGAGUAAGAGCAUAGCUGUUGGGACCCGAAAGAUGGUGAACUAUGCUUGAAUAGGGUGAAGCCAGAGGAAACUCUGGUGGAGGCUCGCAGCGGUUCUGACGUGCAAAUCGAUCGUCAAAUUUGGGCAUAGGGCGAAAGACUAAUC